GGUUUGAAUUCAAGCGUCUUAAGGGCAUCUGGUGAAUGCCUUGGCGAUCAGAGGCGAUGAAGGACGUGGUACGCUGCGAUAAGCUGCGGUUAGGGGCGAACACCCAUUGACCCGCAGAUCUCCGAAUGGGGGAACCCACCGCUUUAUGCGGUAUCCUGCACUGAAUUCAUAGGUGCAGCGAAGCGAACCUGGGGAAUUGAAACAUCUCAGUACCCAGAGGAAAGGAAAUCAACCGAGACUCCGUUAGUAGUGGCGAGCGAACGCGGACCAGCCCAAUGGCAGUUGUGUAAGAACUAGAAGUGUCUGGAAAGGCACACCAAAGUAGGUGAUAGUCCUGUAUAGGUAGAAAGCACAAAUGUCUAUGAGUAAGGCGGGACACGAGUAAUCCUGUCUGAACAUGGGGGGACCAUCCUCCAAGGCUAAGUACUACUGAUCGACCGAUAGUGAACCAGUACCGUGAGGGAAAGGUGAAAAGUACCCCGAUAAGGGGAGUGAAACAGACCUGAAACCGGAUGCCUACAAACAGUCGGAGCCUCUUUAUGGGGUGACGGCGUACCUUUUGUAUAAUGGGUCAGAGAGUUAGUGUUGCAUGCGAGCUUAAGCCGGUAGGUGUAGGCGCAGGGAAACCGAGUCUGAAUAGGGCGACCAAGUAUGCAGCAUUAGACCCGAAAGCCGACGAUCUAGCCAUGGGCAGGUUGAAGUUAGGGUAACACCUAAUGGAGGACCGAACUCAUCACUGUUGAAAAAGUGUGGGAUGACCUGUGGUUAGGGGUGAAAGGCCAAUCAAGUCGGCUAAUAGCUGGUUCUCCGCGAAAACUAUUUAGGUAGUGCGUCAUGCGAAUACCCCGGGGGGUAGAGCACUGGAUGGGCUAGGGGGGCGCGAGCCUUACCAAACCCAACCAAACUCCGAAUACCCGGGAGUAAUACAUGGCAGACAGUCUUAGGGUGAUAAGGUCCUAGGACGAGAGGGAAACAGCCCAGACCUACAGCUAAGGUCCCCAAAUCAUGACUAAGUGGGAAAGGAUGUAGAAACUCCAAGACAACCAGGAUGUUGGCUUAGAAGCAGCCAUCAUUUAAAGAAAGCGUAAUAGCUCACUGGUCUAAAUAAGAGUUUCCGCGCCGAAGAUGUUACGGGGCUCAAGUCAUGUACCGAAGCUUAGGACUCCUACGGGAGUGGUAGCGGAGCGUUCUGUAAGCCUGCGAAGGUGACUCGUGAGAGUUGCUGGAGGUAUCAGAAGUGAGAAUUCUGACAUAAGUAGCGACAAACAGUGUGAGAAUCACUGUCGCCGAAAGUCCAAGGGUUCCUGCGCAAGGCUAAUCCGCGCAGGGUGAGCCGGUCCCUAAGGCGAGGCCGAAAGGCGUAGUCGAUGGGAAUCACGUUAAUAUUCGUGAGCCAGAUGGAGGUGACGGCGGCCGAAAGCAGUAUGCUCUUAACGGAUUGAGUGUGCUGCCUGGGACGUCCAGGAAAUAGCCCCAUCAUUAUUGACCGUACCCGAAACCGACACAGGUGGACUGGUAGAGUAUACCAAGGCGCUUGAGAGAACUGUUCUGAAGGAACUCGGCAAAUUACUUGCGUAACUUCGGGAUAAGCAAGCCCGGCCUAUGGGCAACCAAUGGCCGGGGACACAAACCAGGGGGUGGCGACUGUUUAUCAAAAACACAGGGCUCUGCGAAGUCUAAAGACGACGUAUAGGGUCUGACGCCUGCCCGGUGCUGGAAGGUUAAGAGGAGGUGUGCAAGCACUGAAUCGAAGCCCCAGUAAACGGCGGCCGUAACUAUAACGGUCCUAAGGUAGCGAAAUUCCUUGUCGGGUAAGUUCCGACCUGCACGAAUGGCGUAACGACUUCCCCACUGUCUCCAGAGCAGACUCAGCGAAAUUGAAUUCCUCGUGAAGAUGCGGGGUUCCCGCGGUUAGACGGAAAGACCCUAUGAACCUUUACUAUAGCUUUGCAGUGGCAUCAGGAUUGUCAUGUGUAGGAUAGGUGGGAGACUUUGAAGCAUGGGCGCCAGCUCGUGUGGAGUCGUCCUUGAAAUACCACCCUUGAUUUUCCUGGUGUCUAACGGCAUCCCGUUAUCCGGGAUCCGGACCCUGCAUGGUGGGUAGUUUGACUGGGGCGGUCGCCUCCCAAACAGUAACGGAGGCGCGCGAUGGUAGGCUCAGGUUGGUCGGAAAUCAACUUUUGAGUGCAAUGGCAUAAGCCUGCCUGACUGCGAGACUGACAAGUCGAGCAGAGUGGAAACACGGUCAUAGUGAUCUGGUGCACUCGUAUGGAAGAUGCAUCACUUAACGAAUAAAAGGUACUCUAGGGAUAACAGGCUGAUAGCGCCCAAGCGUCCCCAGCGACGGCGCUGUUUGGCACCUCGAUGUCGGCUCAUCUCAUCCUGGGGCUGGAGCAGGUCCCAAGGGUAUGGCUGUUCGCCAUUUAAAGAGGUACGUGAGCUGGGUUCAGAACGUCGUGAGACAGUUCGGUCCCUAUCUGCCGUGGGUGUUGGAAACUUGAGAGGAGCUGUCCUUAGUACGAGAGGACCGGGAUGGACACACCUCUGGUGCACCAGUUGUCACGCCAGUGGCACAGCUGGGUAGCUAUGUGUGGAAGGGAUAAAUGCUGAAUGCAUCUAAGCGUGAAGCCCCCCUCAAAACAAGGUUUCCCUAUCAGAGCCGUGGAAGACCACCACGUUGAUAGGACAGGUGUGGAAGAGCGGCAACGCUUGAAGCUAACUGUUACUAAUUGCUCGAUCGGCUUGAAUUCACUCCAUGU
Molecule: ribosomal RNA, 2759 nt
Filed under: Micavibrio aeruginosavorus EPB
Lineage: Bacteria; Pseudomonadati; Bdellovibrionota; Bdellovibrionia; Bdellovibrionales; Pseudobdellovibrionaceae
Description: bacterial LSU rRNA
Rfam family: Bacterial large subunit ribosomal RNA
Source: RNAcentral